Molecule: ribosomal RNA, 460 nt
Filed under: uncultured bacterium
Lineage: Bacteria
Description: partial 16S ribosomal RNA
Rfam family: Bacterial small subunit ribosomal RNA
Source: RNAcentral
CCUACGGGAGGCAGCAGUGAGGAAUAUUGGUCAAUGGACGAGAGUCUGAACCAGCCAUGUAGCGUGAAGGAUGACUGCCCUAUGGGUUGUAAACUUCUUUUAUAAGGGAAUAAAACGAGGCACGUGUGCCUUUUUGCAUGUACUUUAUGAAUAAGGAUCGGCUAACUCCGUGCCAGCAGCCGCGGUAAUACGGAGGAUCCGAGCGUUAUCCGGAUUUAUUGGGUUUAAAGGGAGCGUAGAUGGGUUGUUAAGUCAGUUGUGAAAGUUUGGGGCUCAACCGUAAAAUUGCAAUUGAUACUGGCAGGCUUGAGAACAGUUGAGGUAGGCGGAAUGCGUGGUGUAGCGGUGAAAUGCUUAGAGAUCACGAAGAACCCCGAUUGCGAAGGCAGCUUACUAAACUAUGACUGACAUUGAUGCUCGAAAGUGUGGGUAGCAAACAGGAUUAGAUACCCCAGUAGUC